AGUGAACGCUGGCGGUAGGCCUAACACAUGCAAGUCGAACGGCAGCACAGUAAGAGCUUGCUCUUACGGGUGGCGAGUGGCGGACGGGUGAGGAAUACAUCGGAAUCUACUUUUUCGUGGGGGAUAACGUAGGGAAACUUACGCUAAUACCGCAUACGACCUACGGGUGAAAGCAGGGGAUCUUCGGACCUUGCGCGAUUGAAUGAGCCGAUGUCGGAUUAGCUAGUUGGCGGGGUAAAGGCCCACCAAGGCGACGAUCCGUAGCUGGUCUGAGAGGAUGAUCAGCCACACUGGAACGGAGACACGGUCCAGACUCCUACGGGAGGGAGCAGUGGGGAAUAUUGGACAAUGGGCGCAAGCAUGACCCAGCCAUACCGCGUGGGUGAAGAAGGCCUUCGGGUUGUAAAGCCCUUUUGUGGGGAAAGAAAAGCAGCAGGUUAAUACCCCGCUGUUCUGACGGUACCCAAAGAAUAAGCACCGGCUAACUUCGUG
This 492-nucleotide ribosomal RNA is filed under the name uncultured bacterium. RNAcentral describes it as "partial 16S ribosomal RNA". It matches the Rfam family "Bacterial small subunit ribosomal RNA", at positions 29 to 507 of the family's 1533-position model. The record is from RNAcentral.